Molecule: ribosomal RNA, 924 nt
Filed under: Janthinobacterium sp. CB 286442
Lineage: Bacteria; Pseudomonadati; Pseudomonadota; Betaproteobacteria; Burkholderiales; Oxalobacteraceae
Description: bacterial SSU rRNA
Rfam family: Bacterial small subunit ribosomal RNA
Source: RNAcentral
GCAGCACGGAGCUUGCUCUGGUGGCGAGUGGCGAACGGGUGAGUAAUAUAUCGGAACGUACCCUGGAGUGGGGGAUAACGUAGCGAAAGUUACGCUAAUACCGCAUACGAUCUAAGGAUGAAAGUGGGGGAUCGCAAGACCUCAUGCUCGUGGAGCGGCCGAUAUCUGAUUAGCUAGUUGGUAGGGUAAAAGCCUACCAAGGCAUCGAUCAGUAGCUGGUCUGAGAGGACGACCAGCCACACUGGAACUGAGACACGGUCCAGACUCCUACGGGAGGCAGCAGUGGGGAAUUUUGGACAAUGGGCGAAAGCCUGAUCCAGCAAUGCCGCGUGAGUGAAGAAGGCCUUCGGGUUGUAAAGCUCUUUUGUCAGGGAAGAAACGGUGAGAGCUAAUAUCUCUUGCUAAUGACGGUACCUGAAGAAUAAGCACCGGCUAACUACGUGCCAGCAGCCGCGGUAAUACGUAGGGUGCAAGCGUUAAUCGGAAUUACUGGGCGUAAAGCGUGCGCAGGCGGUUUUGUAAGUCUGAUGUGAAAUCCCCGGGCUCAACCUGGGAAUUGCAUUGGAGACUGCAAGGCUAGAAUCUGGCAGAGGGGGGUAGAAUUCCACGUGUAGCAGUGAAAUGCGUAGAUAUGUGGAGGAACACCGAUGGCGAAGGCAGCCCCCUGGGUCAAGAUUGACGCUCAUGCACGAAAGCGUGGGGAGCAAACAGGAUUAGAUACCCUGGUAGUCCACGCCCUAAACGAUGUCUACUAGUUGUCGGGUCUUAAUUGACUUGGUAACGCAGCUAACGCGUGAAGUAGACCGCCUGGGGAGUACGGUCGCAAGAUUAAAACUCAAAGGAAUUGACGGGGACCCGCACAAGCGGUGGAUGAUGUGGAUUAAUUCGAUGCAACGCGAAAAACCUUACCUACCCUUGACAUGG